GCUGGGUGCAGUAGCGCAAGCCUAUAAUCCCAGCAGCUUGGGAGGCUGAGGCAGGAGGAUCAGGAGUUCAAAGCCAUCCUCAGCAAUUUAGCAAGGCCCUAGGCAACUCAGUGAGAUCCUGCCUCUA
RNAcentral lists this small RNA (127 nucleotides) under Marmota monax (woodchuck). Lineage: Eukaryota; Metazoa; Chordata; Mammalia; Rodentia; Sciuridae. The record is from RNAcentral.